RNAcentral lists this ribosomal RNA (434 nucleotides) under uncultured Roseburia sp. Its description in RNAcentral is "partial 16S ribosomal RNA". It matches the Rfam family "Bacterial small subunit ribosomal RNA", at positions 341 to 792 of the family's 1533-position model. The record is from RNAcentral. Lineage: Bacteria; Bacillati; Bacillota; Clostridia; Lachnospirales; Lachnospiraceae.
ACGGGAGGCAGCAGUGGGGAAUAUUGGACAAUGGGCGAAAGCCUGAUCCAGCGACGCCGCGUGAGUGAAGAAGUAUUUCGGUAUGUAAAGCUCUAUCAGCAGGGAAGAUAAUGACGGUACCUGACUAAGAAGCACCGGCUAAAUACGUGCCAGCAGCCGCGGUAAUACGUAUGGUGCAAGCGUUAUCCGGAUUUACUGGGUGUAAAGGGAGCGCAGGCGGUACGGCAAGUCUGAUGUGAAAGCCCGGGGCUCAACCCCGGUACUGCAUUGGAAACUGUCGAACUAGAGUGUCGGAGGGGUAAGCGGAAUUCCUAGUGUAGCGGUGAAAUGCGUAGAUAUUAGGAGGAACACCAGUGGCGAAGGCGGCUUACUGGACUGUAACUGACGUUGAGGCUCGAAAGCGUGGGGAGCAAACAGGAUUAGAUACCCUGGUA